UGGGUGAUCUGCCCUGCACUUCGGGAUAAGCCUGGGAAACUGGGUCUAAUACCGGAUAUACCUCAUUGAUCUCC
This 74-nucleotide ribosomal RNA is filed under the name uncultured bacterium. Its description in RNAcentral is "partial 16S ribosomal RNA". The record is from RNAcentral.